RNAcentral lists this ribosomal RNA (468 nucleotides) under uncultured bacterium. Its description in RNAcentral is "partial 16S ribosomal RNA". It matches the Rfam family "Bacterial small subunit ribosomal RNA", at positions 28 to 507 of the family's 1533-position model. The record is from RNAcentral.
GACGAACGCUGGCGGCGUGCUUAACACAUGCAAGUCGAACGGAAAGGCCAUGCUCUUGUGGGGUGCACGAGUGGCGAACGGGUGAGUAACACGUGAGUAACCUGCCCCUGUCUUUGGGAUAACUCCAGGAAACUGGGGAUAAUACCGGAUAGGAGAUCCUGCUGCAUGGUGGGGGUUGGAGAGUUUCGGCGGUGGUGGAUGGUAUGGCGGCUUAUCAGCUUGUUGGUGGGGUAGUGGCUUACCAAGGCUUUGAAGGGUAGGCGGCCUGAGAGGGUGACCGGCGACAUGGGUACUGAGAUACGGACCAGACGCCAACGGGAGGCAGCAGUGGGGAAUAUUGCAGAAUGGGCGGAAGCCUGAGGCAGCAACGCCGGGUGCGGGAUGACGUGCUUCGGGUGGUAAACCGCUGUGUCCUGAGACGAAGAGGGAGUGACGGUAAUGGGUAAAGAAGCACCGGCUAACUACGUG